Molecule: non-coding RNA, 30 nt
Filed under: Mus musculus (house mouse)
Lineage: Eukaryota; Metazoa; Chordata; Mammalia; Rodentia; Muridae
Source: RNAcentral
UGUAAAUAAAAAGGAAAGGCCAUUUGGAAA